RNAcentral lists this long non-coding RNA (594 nucleotides) under Nicotiana tabacum (common tobacco). RNAcentral's name for it is "long non-coding RNA (NTAB_LNC006391)". The record is from RNAcentral. Lineage: Eukaryota; Viridiplantae; Streptophyta; Magnoliopsida; Solanales; Solanaceae.
UUUUAUUGUCCAGUAAUUUUGGGUUUUCAUUUCUUGGAGUAUUUCCAAAUGAUUGACAGACCAGAAUUAGUUUUCAAAGUUGUGAAGUAUUAAUUCUUGAUAUUGAUAUACUGUUGAAUUGAGAGAGUAGUUGAUUGCUCAUCUCUUAUGAAUUUGAAUAGCUCUGGGAAGAAGUCAGUGCUUUCAACUUUUGAUUUCGUUCCAAUUCUCUGGAACAACUACUAGAGAGAGGGUAUUCACCUAAAGAGUGUACCAAAUACUCAACCUUUCGGUUCAGCAUCUUUUCCAGGCAUGCAUCACUUUUUGCGCAUAUACUCUUUCUAUAUGAACAUUAAUAUCUGCGCCAUCCGUGACUUCAGAUUUAACAUCUUUUUCAGAAAAUACUUGAGAUCUAACCUUGAUAUCCAUUGUGUUUUAAUGUUUUCCAUCCCACAAUUAAUCAGCUGAUGUUCUUGGUGUUUUCUUUUUGGUUAUCUUUUAUUUUUCAAAAGAAGUUUAAUUGUGAUGUUCUUGGUUGUAGCAGGUGAUGCGUUCAGAGAAAAUGCCGGAGCAAAGCUGGGCAAUCUGCCUCCCUCUCUAAGACCUCUGCCAGAG